Sphaerodactylus townsendi is the source of this 1997-nucleotide long non-coding RNA. RefSeq lists it as uncharacterized. The record is from RefSeq and is a predicted model, not a curated record. The transcript is spliced from 4 exons. NCBI's taxonomy places the organism in Eukaryota, Metazoa, Chordata, Lepidosauria, Squamata, Sphaerodactylidae.
GGACUUCUCCCAGGGUUGCCACAAUCUCCAGCCCUCUGGCAGGUGGACCCUGGUGGACUUCUCCCAGGGUUGCCACAAUCUCCAGCCCUCUGGCAGGUGGACCCUGGUGGACUUCUCCCAGGGUUGCCACAGUCUCCAGCCCUCUGGCAGGUGGACCCUGGUGGACUUCUCCCAGGGUUGCCACAAUCUCCAGCCCUCUGGCAGGUGGACCCUGGUGGACUUCUCCCAGGGUUGCCACAAUCUCCAGCCCUCUGGCAGGUGGACCCUGGUGGACUUCUCCCAGGGUUGCCACAGUCUCCAGCCCACUGGCAGGUGGACCCUGGUGGACUUCUCCCAGGGUUGCCACAGUCUCCAGCCCUCUGGCAGGUGGACCCUGGUGGACUUCUCCCAGGGUUGCCACAAUCUCCAGCCCUCUGGCAGGUGGACCCUGGUGGACUUCUCCCAGGGUUGCCACAGUCUCCAGCCCUCUGGCAGGUGGACCCUGGUGGACUUCUCCCAGGGUUGCCACAAUCUCCAGCCCUCUGGCAGGUGGACCCUGGUGGACUUCUCCCAGGGUUGCCACAAUCUCCAGCCCUCUGGCAGGUGGACCCUGGUGGACUUCUCCCAGGGUUGCCACAGUCUCCAGCCCUCUGGCAGGUGGACCCUGGUGGACUUCUCCCAGGGUUGCCACAGUCUCCAGCCCUCUGGCAGGUGGACCCUGGUGGACUUCUCCCAGGGUUACAACAAUGUCCAGCUUAAUUCCAGGUUCCAAUCUCCAGGUUAAUUCCUCUGGAGACAGGGGCCACUUCAGGAAAGGAUGGACUUUAUGGAGUUAAGAGUCCUGCUGGGGUGACUUAUUGUUGAAGGAUUUCACAGAAUCACCUGGCUGUUGCAGGUUUUCCAGGCUGUUUAGUCCUGGGUUUUUGCUCCUAGCGCUUCGGCUGCAUCUAUGGGUGACGUCUUCAGAGGCACAUCAUGAUAAGAUGCAUAGCACGUCUUGCUGGGACAUGCCUCUGAAGAUGCCACCCAUAGAUGUGGCCGAAGUGUUAGGAGCGAAAGCAGCCAGUACAUGGCCACAAAGCCUGGAAAACUCACAACAGCCGGUUACUUCACAAAUGUCCGGCUCCAAUCUCUAGAAAUCUCCCAGUCCCUCUGAGGUGCUUCUCCUGUGGAAUGGUAAUAGGUGCACCCCACAACUUUAGCACUGAUUCCCUUUCUGUGAGUGCAUGUGGUUAAAGUCACCAUUUGUACAACUUCAGCAUGUAAGGAGGUGCUGUAAUCGAUCUGUCUCAGAAUGAGAUUCACACUGUUUCCUUGCUUUCCCCCCAAAGGAUUUCAGGGAGAUCCCUCUCUAGUUCCGUUUUCUUCCCACAGUAACCCUGCGGGGCAGCUUUAGGCUGAGAAAGAUGAAUGACUAGCUUUCAGAGAGGUUGGUGCUUGAUCAGACACUAAUCGUCCCUUUGACUCUACAUCUACACAUUGUUGGAUGUUGUGCUAAAGUGAUCCUUCAAGAAUGUGGACAGUGUUCAAGUCCAGCAUAGUACCGUAAAGACCAGUGAACUUUUCCAGGAUAUAACCUUUCCUAAGUUAAAGCUUGCUUCGUCACGUACCCUGAAAAAAAUGGGUCAUUACAGUAAUUCCCUUUCUGUAUGUAGGUGUGAAUGCUGCUCUGCUACUGCAGAUUUGAAUGCUUUUCUGCUGCUACAGACUAUCACAGCUACCCUCCUGAGGCUGUCUUUUAGAGAACAAAUUCUCUUGUCUGCUCAGUUUCAAAUGCGGCUGUCACAACUGCAGCAAUAUUGCGGGUGCAACUUGGUUCUGAUGAAUAGAAAAAAAACCAUCCUGUGUAAAAAGCUCAAUAUCCAGAAAAACCCAUUUGCAUUUGAUUGGGGUAUGUGUACUGCACAGUUUUAAGUAGAACAUAAGAACAAGCCAGCAGGAUCAGACCAGAGUCCAUCUAGUCCAGCUCUCUGCUACUCGCAGUGGCCCACCAGGUGCCUUUGGGAGCUCACAUGCAG